UAGGGAAUCUUCGGCAAUGGACGGAAGUCUGACCGAGCAACGCCGCGUGAGUGAAGAAGGUUUUCGGAUCGUAAAGCUCUGUUGUAAGAGAAGAACGAGUGUGAGAGUGGAAAGUUCACACUGUGACGGUAUCUUACCAGAAAGGGACGGCUAACUACGUGCCAGCAGCCGCGGUAAUACGUAGGUCCCGAGCGUUGUCCGGAUUUAUUGGGCGUAAGGCGAGCGCAGGCGGUUAGAUAAGUCUGAAGUUAAAGGCUGUGGCUUAACCAUAGUAGGCUUUGGAAACUGUUUAACUUGAGUGCAAGAGGGGAGAGUGGAAUUCCAUGUGUAGCGGUGAAAUGCGUAGAUAUAUGGAGGAACACCGGUGGCGAAAGCGGCUCUCUGGCUUGUAACUGACGCUGAGGCUCGAAAGCGUGGGGAGCAAACAGGAUUAGAUACCCUGGUAGUCCACGCUGUAAACGAUGAGUGCUAGGUGUUAGACCCUUUCCGGGGUUUAGUGCCGUAGCUAACGCAUUAAGCACUCCGCCUGGGGAGUACGACCGCAAGGUUG
Molecule: ribosomal RNA, 550 nt
Filed under: uncultured bacterium
Lineage: Bacteria
Description: bacterial SSU rRNA
Rfam family: Bacterial small subunit ribosomal RNA
Source: RNAcentral